Molecule: long non-coding RNA, 314 nt
Organism: Vespa crabro (European hornet)
Lineage: Eukaryota; Metazoa; Arthropoda; Insecta; Hymenoptera; Vespidae
Exons: 3
Source: RefSeq, a predicted model, not a curated record
AUCGAAUGUACGGAGAAUAUCCGCUUCGCUGUUUCUUGCAUAGUCUCGAAGUCGUUCUGUACUUCCUCCGCUGUAAACAAACGUAUAAAGUGUAAAAUAAGAAAAUUUAUUACAUUUUAUUCAAAACAAAAAAAUGUAAUCCAAUCAUAACCGAUGACCAAACACUUGAAGCCCCGAGGCAUUUGUAAUAACGUUUGGAAUGUAAAGUUGUAAAUAAUCCUCUGGCUGUGACGUUCCACAAUCCGAAGUGAAUUCGAUCGUUAACCAUUUUACGGAUUCUGGAAAAUUAACUUUAUAAUGUGACACUGCAGAAG